UACAGAGGGUGCGAGCGUUAAUCGGAAUUACUGGGCGUAAAGCGCGCGUAGACGGCUUUGUAAGUCGGAUGUGAAAUCCCCGGGCUCAACCUGGGAACUGCAUUCGAAACUGUCGAGCUAGAGUAUGGUAGAGGGUGGUGGAAUUUCCUGUGUAGCGGUGAAAUGCGUAGAUAUAGGAAGGAACACCAGUGGCGAAGGCGACCACCUGGACUGAUACUGACACUGAGGUGCGAAAGCGUGGGGAGCAAACAGG
RNAcentral lists this ribosomal RNA (253 nucleotides) under uncultured bacterium. RNAcentral describes it as "partial 16S ribosomal RNA". It matches the Rfam family "Bacterial small subunit ribosomal RNA", at positions 524 to 776 of the family's 1533-position model. The record is from RNAcentral.